GGCUGAGGGCUCCGUCCGCGCCGCGGGGAACCCGACUUUCCUGUUAAAAUAACCUGACUUUCCUGCCAAAACAGCACUGGAAAACGCUGCCGCCGCGCCGGAACCAGGCGGCGGUGACGGAGCGGACUCGAAACCUGCCGAGCCGCUGCGCCUCCCUCCUGCCGGGGCCGAGAGCCGUGACCUCAAGCGCAUCCCUUCCCAGCCCCUUUCACAAGGGCAGGGGCUCGGCCGCAGCCCGGCCACCGGGCAAUGACGAGAGGAAGCACGUGGUAACAGAAGAGUUGGGUCCCCGAGGCUUGGGAAGCAAAAGGUUUUUGCUUGCACCUCAGAUUGCCCGUAGGCAGUAGGACUUUUCACAGUCCUGAUAAAAUGAGGUCAAAUGGGAGCCGCCUAGGAUAGGUACUGCAGCUCACGAGCGGGGUUGGUGCGGGCCGGUGUGGCCCGACGAGAGCAGGCAAGGUCGUGUCAGGCCCGGGCUCAGCAGGCAGUGUGCCCUCCGGCCCUGCGCACCCGUCCGAGCAGGGCACCUCACCAUGACACUGGCUCUUCACCACCAAAGUGCGGAAAGUUGAGGUGUCUCACAGCUGCGAGGCAGCGUGGCCAUUCUCUCUGCUACACUGAAAUAACUGUAUAAUAUUUCUUUCCACUGUAACUAGUUUUCAGUCUUCCAUCAAUUUCUCAUAGGAACUUCACCAUUACAAGUGUUUUCUAUUAUAAAUUACAGGUCCCACAUCAAUUUUCAUUCUUAUAUUAUCCCUGUAUCAAAUAUUAGAUCCUCUUUCUGCCCACCAGCUCUUCCAAGAAAUAAUGCAACAGUAACUUGACGGUAUUAGGCAUAACUCUGUACCACAUCCCAGGAUACUUAAAAGGUAAUACUGUGUAUCUGUAGAUGGUGAUGACAGCGUUUCAAGUUUUUGCAUACGCAAGGGCAAUCUCAUACACUUUUAGGCAUUAUGUCUCACACACCAUUUUAGUAAAUGUAAGCCUUGCAUCCUUUGAAAAGAAGAUUGACAACCAUGUCACCAUAAAACAGUUUUCUUAUGAUAAUUCAUGCAUAUUAAAGAAAUAUUUCUCUUAUUUUUAAAGUCUCCUGAUAGGAGAAAAAAAUCAUCAGGUCUGGCACUCUAUUAUAGUUGUUAGAUGUUACUCCAAAGAAAGGUAUAAACUGUAACCCUAAUCACUUUUGUUUGGCAAAAGAUCGAAAAGCUUAUCAAAGUAUCCUGUCAAUGAAUAAUGACAUCGAAUGUCAAUGAAUAGUGAUCCUCUUGCAAGGAUUGCUGAUCACAUAAUUUCACUAUGAAAUUAUCUUAAUUCUCCUGACAGCUGCAAAAUCUCAAAAAACAACCUUACUGAAUUUUUAAGGUAACAAAAAUUCUGUUCAUUGGGUUCUAGGUAAGAAAGUGAAUUAUCACUGAAAACAGUAAGAGAUCUUCAUUUUUCAGCACGACCAGCUGCUUCUGGGCUCACACUGUGAACUGCUCUGACUUUGCUUACAGUCAGCUGGGACUUCUUCCUACAAGGACCGAUCUGGAAUACACUGGACAGAAGAGACUCUGUGAUCCCUGACGCCUGAGGAUGCUGAGCUGGACGCUUAUCUCUUGAGAGAGACAGGCAGGUCUGCCCAUCACUUUCCAGCAGGUUGCUCUCAGGAUACAGCACCACAGGAGAGCUGGGAGAGCCAGAAAGGCUGCUCUGGCAUGGAGCUGCUGUGCAAAAUAUCCACUGGUGGAUUCCACAAUGCAUGGCUGAGAGUGAUCUUGUUUGGCAUGUAGAAAUCCUGUCCUGCUGCAAAUGCUAAAUAGUGAUGGUUUCCAGAUGCAUGAGUCAGUUUUCACAUGUCAUCAGUUUCAUGUGCACAGGGUACUUUUUGUGACACGGUGCAGAAGUCAAUAUCCUGGAAAUGACCAAGCCUGGCUCUCUCCACUGAUACAAAGAUGCUGUCAGGUUGGUCAGUUCUUUUUGUAGAUCUGGGAAGCUCCAUCUGGCCUUGGAGAAGUUCUGCUGACAGCUCACCUGCUGGCACUGAACUCUGAUUAGGCUGCUGAUGCAGCCUAUAUUUCAAGCCUGUUACUUAUAAUUCACAUGACCAGCUGUUGCAAAAUUCAUUAUGCAGUAUUAUCUACCAGAAUGUAUUUGUCCUUUAUAUGUAAAUUCUGAAUUAUUUAGUAAGUUUAUUUAUUCUUUAUAAACUGUGAAUUUCAUGUUGAGCAUAACAACACAUACAAUUCUUCUUUAGUUUACUCUGAAAUGUAAAGUAACAUGUAAAUAAAUAUGCAGACUCCAUAUUUACUUAAUGAAUUGUAAUACUGCCAGUCUAUUCCAAUAAAGAAUAUUCUUUUAUAA
Long non-coding RNA from Parus major (Great Tit), 2343 nucleotides. RefSeq lists it as uncharacterized. The transcript has 2 exons. Lineage: Eukaryota; Metazoa; Chordata; Aves; Passeriformes; Paridae. The record is from RefSeq and is a predicted model, not a curated record.